GAUGAAGAACGCAGCGAAAUGCGAUAAGUAAUGUGAAUUGCAGAAUUCAGUGAACCAUCGAAUCUUUGAACGCACAUUGCGCCCGGCAGUAAUCUGCCGGGCAUGCCUGUCCGAGCGUCAUUUCUGCCCUCGAGCGAGUCCAGCAUCUAGGUGCUGGGCCCGCCCGGCGUUGGGGCACUACGGGAAGCCCUGUGCUGUCCCCCGUAGGCCCCGAAAUGAAGUGGCGGUCCUGCCGCGGCGCCCCCUGCGUAGUAUAACAGCUCGCUUCGGGACCCGGUGGAGGCCUGCCGUCAAACCUUACUCUCUAAGUUUGACCUCGGAUCAGGUAGGGUUACCCGCUGAACUUAAGCAUAUCAAUAAGCGGAGA
This 367-nucleotide unclassified non-coding RNA is filed under the name soil metagenome. Its description in RNAcentral is "partial contains 5.8S ribosomal RNA, internal transcribed spacer 2, and large subunit ribosomal RNA". The stretch from base 1 to 120 matches the Rfam family "5.8S ribosomal RNA", at positions 35 to 154 of the family's 154-position model. The record is from RNAcentral.